Molecule: long non-coding RNA, 4273 nt
Organism: Oncorhynchus keta (chum salmon)
Lineage: Eukaryota; Metazoa; Chordata; Actinopteri; Salmoniformes; Salmonidae
Exons: 7
Source: RefSeq, a predicted model, not a curated record
UGUGCCUGUUCAGUUGGGAGAAUGUUUUCUGAUUGGAUUGGCACACUAAAUAUAUGUUGUGAAUGGAGACAAUGUUCCAGAAUAUAACCACUAUGAUUCUCAACACUAGGGUUCCUGAGAAUGAGGAUAAGGAGGACAGAAGCACACUGCCAAGCGCCGUCAGCUUGGCUGAUGUCCAUGUUGGAAGUCCAGACAUGCUCGGUGGUAAAGCAAAGAGCCAGAAAACCUCCAGGUUAUUUCCUCUCUAUAGAAAUAGCAGGAGCAGUCGGUUUGGAGAGAAAUCUUCUGGAAUUGUCACCAGCAGUCUAUCCAACCCCGCGGACACCACCGCCAGCCCAAUGACAACCCUCAAAUCCAGCAAGGCCACCACCCCGUCAGCCUCAUGUUUAAACACAGCCUGUCCUCAUCUAAAAACAAGAGGACGCAGAGUAGAGGACACUGCAGAACCACUGAUGCGUUGGUCACGGGUGGUUCAUUGUUUGAGCUGUUGCGUGAGGCCAUCUACUCUGAGAUGGCUAAUGUGAUAUCUCAGAAUGAGACUAGGCCCAGCUGCAGCUGCUCAACACAGACUACCUACGGCAGAGAGCACUAUUCGCCCUGAAGGACAGUGGCUCGGCAUCCUUCCAAAAGAGAUGUGACUGAAGACCAGCCUGUGCCUGCCAGCCCUGUUCUCCAGGCUUCCCCCACCACAGAACUGACAUCCAGAGAGACCAUGUUCUUAAGACAUCAUUGCUGUAUGUAUGCGUUUCUCUGACCUGCAAUCACCUGACUAAUGUAACACAUUACAUCCUUUGUUAGUUUUAUUAACAGACUAAAAUGACCAUAACAAGAAUAAUAUUAAUGUCACUGUUUAUUUGAUUUGUAAGAGGAUUAUUCAGGAAAGAGACAGAAAAUAAAUGUUUCAGAAGGAGGUGAAUGCAUCCUGUCUAUCGCCUCCCACCGUAAGCCAUUUGCCAAUGAGGAUCUGGGUAAAAACCGUUCAUGGAUUUGAACACUGCUGUCUCCUUAAUUAAUAGUCUAUGCUAUAUGUCUAAGUGUCUGUUUAACUUUGAUCUGUUGCUAUGAUUGACUGGACACUGCUGUCUCCUUAAUUAAUAGUCUAUGCUAUAUGUCUAAGUGUCUUUUUAACUUUGAUCUGUUGCUAUGAUUGACUGGACACUGCUGUCUCCUUAAUUAAUAGUCUAUGCUAUAUGUCUAAGUGUCUGUUUAACUUUGAUCUGUUGCUAUGAUUGACUGGACACUCUGCUGCUUUUUAGGUGCCUGUGAUGGUACUAACUCUUCCUUAAAUGAAAUCCAGUGUACCAACACUCAACAACUUGACAGGCAGAUAAAUGCUAUCAUGGCUGAGAUCCUUCCCAUUUUGAAGGUUAAACACAAUGCUUGGUGUAGGAUAUUUGGGAUUUCAAAGCCCUGAAUGUGUAUACUUAUUGCAUUUUAUGCCAUUUCUUAGCUGAAAAAGAGUUCUUUAGAACUGAAAUGAAGAACUUGUUCAUUUCUCACUGUGUGUUGUGUUGUCAGGAGCGUGUGAAGGAGGAGUUAUCUUCUUAUCUCCUGGCGUCCAUCAGACACAAGGUUCUGGCUCUGACAGCAGAGAAUUCAUCCACUUCUUCCACAAACAGCUCAGUGAUAUUCUGCAGAGUUCCAUGGCCCGUUAUGCAGGGAGGCUGUUGAGAGGCAGUGGUGGUGAUCUACUGGUGGACCUCUCUGAGGCCAUCUUCCAUGAGCUGGCCUUCUUCCACCUGAUACAGGACAUGAACAGGUUGGCAGUCAAGCAGAAUGUUCAAUGCACCAGCACUAUCACAGCCCCUGCAGUGAAAUGGACCUGCUACACUGAGGAGACAGAAUCAUUGGCAGAACAACAGCCAUACCCGACAGCGCUGGAAAAUGAAGAUAAAACAAAGAUGAAACAGAGCGGAGGGAGGAAUGUGCUGAGGCAGGAGAAAGGAUAACUAAUUUGAAAGAUGACAGCUGCAAUGAUGCCUUAGAAGGAGAAGAAGAGGAAGAUAUGAAUGACAGUGAAGGACUGCUUCUAUUAAUAAACCUGUCUAAGGCAGACAGCCAGGCUCUGACUAACUAUGGCAGCAGAGAGGACGAGAAUGAGGAAGAUGAAGACUUCCGGCUGAGCCUGAUGACGUCCAGACCUCUCUCUAAGCCAGUAACGACUUUCCCCAAGCCAGUAACGACUCUCUCCAAGGAAGUAACGACCUUUCCCAAGCCAGUAAUGACUUUCUCCUAUCAAGUAACGACUCUCUCCAAGCCAGUAACGACUCUCUCUCAAAGCCAGUAACUACUGUCUCUAAAAGCCAGUAACUACUCUCUCUAAAAGCCAGUAACUACUCUCUCUAAAAGCCAGUAACUACUCUCUCUAAAAGCCAGUAACUACUCUCUCUCAAAGCCAGUAACUACUGUCUCUAAAAGCCAGUAACUACUCUCUCUAAAAGCCAGUAACGACUCUCUCUAAAAGCCAGUAACUACUCUCUCUAAAGGCCAGUAACUACUCUCUCCAAGCCAGUAAAGACUCUCUCCAAGCCAGUAACGACUCUCUCCAAGCCAGUAACGACUCUCUCCAAGCCAGUAACGACUCUCUCCAAGCCAGUAAAGACUCUCUCCAAGCCAGUAACGACUCUCUCCAAGCCAGUAACGACUCUCUCCAAGCCAGUAAAGACUCUCUCCAAGCCAGUAACGACUCUCUCCAAGCCAGUAACGACUCUCUCCAAGCCAGUAAUGACUCUCUCCAAGCCAGUAACGACUCUCUCCAAGCCAGUAAAGACUCUCUCUAAAAGCCAGUAACUACUCUCUCUAAAAGCCAGUAACUACUCUCUCUAAAAGCCAGUAACUACUCUCUCCAAGCCAGUAAAGACUCUCUCCAAGCCAGUAACGACUCUCUCCAAGCCAGUAACGACUCUCUCCAAGCCAGUAAAGACUCUCUCCAAGCCAGUAAAGACUCUCUCCAAGCCAGUAACGACUCUCUCCAAGCCAGUAACGACUCUCUCCAAGCCAGUAACGACUCUCUCUAAAAGCCAGUAACUACUCUCUCUAAAAGCCAGUAACUACUCUCUCUAAAAUCCAGUAACUACUCUCUCUAAAAUCCAGUAACUACUCUCUCUAAAAUCCAGUAACUACUCUCUCUAAAAGCCAGUAACUACUCUCUCUAAAAGCCAGUAACUACUCUCUCCAAGCCAGUAACGACUCUCUCCAAGCCAGUAACUACUCUCUCCAAGCCAGUAACGACUCUCUCCAAGCCAGUAACGACUCUCUCCAAGCCAGUAACGACUCUCUCCAAGCCAGUAACUACUCUCUCUAAAAGCCAGUAACUACUCUCUCUAAAAGCCAGUAACUACUCUCUCUAAAAGCCAGUAACUACUCUCUCUAAAAGCCAGUAACUACUCUCUCUAAAAGCCAGUAACUACUCUCUCUAAAAGCCAGUAACUACUCUCUCUAAAAGCCAGUAACUACUCUCUCUAAAAGCCAGUAACUACUCUCUCUAAAAGCCAGUAACUACUCUCUCUAAAAGCCAGUAACUACUCUCUCUAAAAGCCAGUAACUACUCUCUCUAAAAGCCAGUAACUACUCUCUCUAAAAGCCAGUAACUACUCUCUCUAAAAGCCAGUAACUACUCUCUCUAAAAGCCAGUAACUACUCUCUCUAAAAUUCAGUAACUACUCUCUCUAAAAUCCAGUAACGACUCUCUCCAAGCCAGUAAAUACUCUCUCCAAGCCAGUAACGACUCUCUCCAAGCCUUUCUCCAAGCCAAUAACGACUCUCUCCAAGCCUUUCUCCAAGCCAGUAACGACUCUCUCCAAGCCAAUAACGACUCUCUCCAAGCCAGUAAAUACUCUCUCCAAGCCAGUAACGACUCUCUCCAAGCCUUUCUCCAAGCCAAUAACGACUCCCUCCAAGCGUUUCUCCAAGCCAGUAACGACUCUCUCCAAGCCUUUCUCCAAGCCAGUAACGACUCUCUCCAAGCCUUUCUCCAAGCCAGUAACGACUCUCUCCAAGCCUUUCUCCAAGCCAAUAACGACUCUCUCCAAGCCUUUCUCCAAGCCAGUAACGACUCUCUCCAAGCCUUUCUCCAAGCCAAUAACGACUCUCUCCAAGCCUUUCUCCAAGUCAGUAACGACUCUCUCCAAGCCUUUCUCCAAGUCAGUAACGACUCUCUCCAAGCCUUUCUCCAAGCCAGUAAAGACUCUCUCCAAGCCUUUCUCCAAGCCAAUAACGACUCUCUCCAAGCCUUUCUCCAAGUCAGUAACGACUCUCUCCAAGCCUUUCUCCA